RNAcentral lists this ribosomal RNA (442 nucleotides) under Pseudochattonella verruculosa. Its description in RNAcentral is "SSU rRNA". It matches the Rfam family "Eukaryotic small subunit ribosomal RNA", at positions 1328 to 1789 of the family's 1831-position model. Lineage: Eukaryota; Dictyochophyceae; Florenciellales. The record is from RNAcentral.
UUAACGAACGAGACCCCCGCCUGCUAAAUAGUGACGGGAAUGCUUCGCAUUGCCGGCUUGCUUCUUAGAGGGACUUUCGGUGACUAACCGAAGGAAGUUGGGGGCAAUAACAGGUCUGUGAUGCCCUUAGAUGUCCUGGGCUGCACGCGCGCUACACUGACCCAUGCAACGAGUCUACAACCUUGGCUGGAAGGCCUGGGUAAUCUGUGAACGUGGGUCGUGAUAGGGAUAGAUUAUUGCAAUUAUUAAUCUUGAACGAGGAAUUCCUAGUAAACGCAAGUCAUCAGCUUGCAUUGAUUACGUCCCUGCCCUUUGUACACACCGCCCGUCGCACCUACCGAUUGAAUGGUUCGGUGAGGUCUCAGGAUCGUGGCUUAGCACCUUCAUUGGAGCUCUGCCGUGAGAAUCUGCCCAAACCUCAUCAUUUAGAGGAAGGUGAAGU